RNAcentral lists this ribosomal RNA (419 nucleotides) under bacterium. RNAcentral's name for it is "partial 16S ribosomal RNA". It matches the Rfam family "Bacterial small subunit ribosomal RNA", at positions 355 to 776 of the family's 1533-position model. The record is from RNAcentral.
UGGGGGAUAUUGCACAAUGGGCGAAAGCCUGAUGCAGCGACGCCGCGUGGGGGAUGAAGGCCUUCGGGUUGUAAACUUCUUUUGCUCUGAACAAGGCAUGCUAAUGGGUGUGUUGAGUGUAGGGGUUGAUUAGCGCCGGCUAACUACGUGCCAGCAGCCGCGGUAAUACGUAGGGCGCGAGCGUUGUCCGGAAUUAUUGGGCGUAAAGGGCUUGUAGGUGGCUGGUUGAGUCUGUCGUGAAAGCUCAUGGCUUAACUGUGGGUUUGCGGUGGGUACGGGCUGGCUUGAGUGCAGUAGGGGAGGCUGGAAUUCCUGGUGUAGCGGUGGAAUGCGCAGAUAUCAGGAGGAAUACCGGUGGCGAAGGCGGGUCUCUGGGCUGUUACUGACACUGAGGAGCGAAAGCAUGGGGAGCGAACAGG